RNAcentral lists this ribosomal RNA (580 nucleotides) under Vibrio sp. MR07-21. RNAcentral's name for it is "partial 16S ribosomal RNA". It matches the Rfam family "Bacterial small subunit ribosomal RNA", at positions 99 to 671 of the family's 1533-position model. Lineage: Bacteria; Pseudomonadati; Pseudomonadota; Gammaproteobacteria; Vibrionales; Vibrionaceae. The record is from RNAcentral.
CGGACGGGUGAGUAAUGCCUGGGAAAUUGCCCUGAUGUGGGGGAUAACCAUUGGAAACGAUGGCUAAUACCGCAUAACGUCUACGGACCAAAGAGGGGGACCUUCGGGCCUCUCGCUUCAGGAUAUGCCCAGGUGGGAUUAGCUAGUUGGUGAGGUAAUGGCUCACCAAGGCGACGAUCCCUAGCUGGUCUGAGAGGAUGAUCAGCCACACUGGAACUGAGACACGGUCCAGACUCCUACGGGAGGCAGCAGUGGGGAAUAUUGCACAAUGGGCGCAAGCCUGANGCANCCAUGCCGCGUGUAUGAAGAAGGCCUUCGGGUUGUAAAGUACUUUCAGUCGUGAGGAANGCGUUGAAGUUAAUAGCUUCAUCGNNUGACGUUAGCGACAGAAGAAGCACCGGCUAACUCCGUGCCAGCAGCCGCGGUAAUACGGAGGGUGCGAGCGUUAAUCGGAAUUACUGGGCGNANAGCGCAUGCAGGUGGNUUGUUAAGUCAGAUGUGAAAGCCCGGGGGCUCAACCUCGGGAACCGCAUUUGAAACUGGGCAGGCUANNAGNANUGUAGAGGGGGGUANAAUUUCA